GGCCGUGUGGCUCAAUGGCAGAGCGUCUGACUACGAUUCAUCACGGAAUCAGAAGGUCGCAGGUUCGACCCCUGUCUCGGUCA
Molecule: transfer RNA, 83 nt
Filed under: Claviceps africana
Lineage: Eukaryota; Fungi; Ascomycota; Sordariomycetes; Hypocreales; Clavicipitaceae
Also listed under: 1 other name
Rfam family: tRNA
About the family: Transfer RNA (tRNA) molecules are approximately 80 nucleotides in length. Their secondary structure includes four short double-helical elements and three loops (D, anti-codon, and T loops). Further hydrogen bonds mediate the characteristic L-shaped molecular structure. tRNAs have two regions of fundamental functional importance: the anti-codon, which is responsible for specific mRNA codon recognition, and the 3' end, to which the tRNAs corresponding amino acid is attached (by aminoacyl-tRNA synthetases). tRNAs cope with the degeneracy of the genetic code in two manners: having more than one tRNA (with a specific anti-codon) for a particular amino acid; and 'wobble' base-pairing, i.e. permitting non-standard base-pairing at the 3rd anti-codon position.
Source: Rfam by way of RNAcentral